This 250-nucleotide ribosomal RNA is filed under the name uncultured prokaryote. Its description in RNAcentral is "partial 16S ribosomal RNA". It matches the Rfam family "Bacterial small subunit ribosomal RNA", at positions 524 to 773 of the family's 1533-position model. The record is from RNAcentral.
UACGGAGGAUGCGAGCGUUAUCCGGAUUUAUUGGGUUUAAAGGGCGCUCAGGCGGCUUGCUAAGCGGGAGGUGAGAUGCCGGCGCUCAACGUCGGAAGUGCCUCCCGAACUGGUGGGCUGGAAUGACUCUGCCGUGGGAGGAAUGUGUAGUGUAGCGGUGAAAUGCUUAGAGAUUACACAGAACACCGAUUGCGAAGGCAUCUCACGGAGGGUUGAUUGACGCUGAGGCACGAAAGCGUGGGGAUCAAAC